AAAAAAAAAAAAAAAAAAUCACAUUUGAUUUCUCAAUUCUUGUUUCAGACCAAUCAAUCAUGUCUUGCUGUGGAGGAAACUGUGGCUGUGGAUCUAGCUGCAAGUGCGGCAACGGCUGUGGAGGUUGCAAGAUGUACCCAGACAUGAGCUACACCGAAAGCAGCACAACCACUGAGACUUUGGUGCUUGGGGUGGGACCUGAGAAGACAAGCUUCGGCGCCAUGGAGAUGGGUGAAUCCCCUGUUGCUGAGAAUGGCUGCAAAUGUGGAUCUGACUGCAAGUGCAACCCUUGCACUUGUUCUAAGUGAACGAAAAUAUAGUUGAAACAGAGCAGAGAUCAUGGUGUUAGCCUUCUAUGGCUGAAGAAAAAUAGUUGAAAAAAUGUGUGUGUCUAGUGUUUUAGUGUGUCUGUCUGUUGAAAACGGGGAAAAAAAUGUGUUCUUUUUUCCCUGUAAUAAGAAAUAUAGUAAUGGAGUCUUUAUGUGUAAGUAACCAGUAAAAUGGUUUGUGUAAACAUGAAUAUCUCUGCAUCUGUUAAUUUUAACAUAUAAGUUUGGAUAUGUGUUAUGGUUUCAACUAAUUCAAGUACUUCCUUGAUAAUGUUUUCCUGUUUCUAGGCUGCAAAACUAUAGUAAAUCUUUUAGGUUUUGGUAAAACCUAAUUCCAUUGGGUGUAGUUGGAGAGCAUAUAGUGUUUGCGAAUAUGUAAAUUUCAUUCGAAUAUGUAAAUUUCUAUCGGGGAAAAGGGAAGAUCCGCUUGAUAG
RNAcentral lists this unclassified non-coding RNA (763 nucleotides) under Hevea brasiliensis (rubber tree). Lineage: Eukaryota; Viridiplantae; Streptophyta; Magnoliopsida; Malpighiales; Euphorbiaceae. The record is from RNAcentral.